Molecule: ribosomal RNA, 383 nt
Filed under: uncultured Alphaproteobacteria bacterium
Lineage: Bacteria; Pseudomonadati; Pseudomonadota; Alphaproteobacteria
Description: bacterial SSU rRNA
Rfam family: Bacterial small subunit ribosomal RNA
Source: RNAcentral
AGGCAGCAGUGGGGAAUCUUAGACAAUGGGCGCAAGCCUGAUCUAGCCAUGCCGCGUGAGCGAUGAAGGCCUUAGGGUUGUAAAGCUCUUUCAGGGGGGAAGAUAAUGACUGUACCCCCAGAAGAAGCCCCGGCUAACUCCGUGCCAGCAGCCGCGGUAAUACGGAGGGGGCUAGCGUUGUUCGGAAUUACUGGGCGUAAAGCGCACGUAGGCGGAUCAGAAAGUCAGAGGUGAAAUCCCAGGGCUCAACCCUGGAACUGCCUUUGAAACUCCUGAUCUUGAGGUCGAGAGAGGUGAGUGGAAUUCCGAGUGUAGAGGUGAAAUUCGUAGAUAUUCGGAGGAACACCAGUGGCGAAGGCGGCUCACNGGCUCGAUACNGACGC